Talpa occidentalis (Iberian mole) is the source of this 1091-nucleotide long non-coding RNA. RefSeq lists it as uncharacterized. NCBI's taxonomy places the organism in Eukaryota, Metazoa, Chordata, Mammalia, Eulipotyphla, Talpidae. The transcript has 3 exons. The record is from RefSeq and is a predicted model, not a curated record.
UUUCAUUCCAAUGGAACCUCAGAGCAAAGGAACAACUUGUAAGGGCAGCAUGAAUCUCCCUCUUGAACAGGAAAGCUAGAAAACCUAAGUAAUGAAAUUGAUGGCUUUAUUUUAACAGCAUGUGCCCAGACAGAGGAAAUCUACCCUGAACUGAGGGACAUAUUCAACAGGCAUUUUUAAAUUUUAAAAUUAAAAAACAGGGCCCAGGCAUACAACCCAGAAAGGUUUGUCUUCAAAACUGAAGUCAAGGUAAAUCAAGUUCAUCUUAGUUAUUUUUUUGCAUGAGGAUAGUUGGAAAGAAUAGAUAAGGAGGUGCUCAACUGGACUGAGAGAUUCUUACUUUUUAAGUCUUUUUCAGGACAGCCCAUUCUUCUGAAUAACAGCAGCUGACUGAUCUACAUGGGCACUGAGAGUCAUUCUCCACUAGAGGUUAGUGCUGAGGCACAUCAGUUGCAAGAGCAGGCCGCAUCAUUCCCAAUUCAAGUUGAAGACUUUAAGUUCAAGGAAAAUAGUCUCUCUUUAUGCCUGUCAAUUCGUAUGUCCCCUGAUAUUUCUGGAUAAUCUUACUAAUUAACUGAACCUCAUCAGGAAGAUAAUGAUGGUUCGGCGACUCGAGAGACACACAGGACCUCAGAACCUCGAACUCAAAAUACUUGGCAGUCUACCAAAAAAAAAAAAAAAAGACCUUCUUGAUUCAAGAAGAGGAGGGGAUGAGCAGCGAGAAGGGGAGUAUAUGACACGAAAAGCUGCUGACCAGAGCAGUGGCGCCCAGCUUUCAGACACACUUACUGGUUUGCUAGGGUACACGUUAGAUAGAUGCGUUUUUAGUUUCCCCACGGUCCAGUUCAAGAAGCAGCUAAUAGUCUGGUCACUGUAUUUCUGAUUCGGUGCUUUAAUGAUGAGGGUCACAGGAAUCUCCAUCCCACUUUGGUCCAUGGUGCCCCCAAAGUCGGACAGAGUCAAACGGAGCAGCAGUUAAGCCCAACUGAGCCGAGGUGGUUACUGCCGGCGCGACUGGGAUGGGGUCGGAAGCGACUGGGUUCUUAAUAUUCCACGUCCCGAUCAGUCACAAGUGCAUCCGGCGAUGCGAA